Molecule: ribosomal RNA, 253 nt
Filed under: uncultured bacterium
Lineage: Bacteria
Description: partial 16S ribosomal RNA
Rfam family: Bacterial small subunit ribosomal RNA
Source: RNAcentral
UACGGGGGGGGCAAGCGUUGUUCGGAAUUACUGGGCGUAAAGCGCACGUAGGCGGCUUUGUAAGUUAGAGGUGAAAGCCCGGAGCUCAACUCCGGAAUUGCCUUUAAGACUGCAUCGCUUGAAUCCGGGAGAGGUGAGUGGAAUUCCGAGUGUAGAGGUGAAAUUCGUAGAUAUUCGGAAGAACACCAGUGGCGAAGGCGGCUCACUGGACCGGUAUUGACGCUGAGGUGCGAAAGCGUGGGGAGCAAACAGG